This 440-nucleotide ribosomal RNA is filed under the name uncultured bacterium. RNAcentral's name for it is "partial 16S ribosomal RNA". It matches the Rfam family "Bacterial small subunit ribosomal RNA", at positions 338 to 795 of the family's 1533-position model. The record is from RNAcentral.
CCUACGGGGGACAGCAGUGGGGAAUAUUGCACAAUGGGGGCAACCCUGAUGCAGCGACGCCGCGUGAGUGAUGAAGUAUUUCGGUAUGUAAAGCUCUAUCAGCAGGGAAGAAAAUGACGGUACCUGACUAACAAGCCCCGGCUAACUACGUGCCAGCAGCCGCGGUAAUACGUAGGGUGCAAGCGUUAUCCGGAUUUACUGGGUGUAAAGGGAGCGUAGACGGAAUAGCAAGUCUGAUGUGACAGCCCGGGGCUCAAGGCCGGGAGUGCAUUGGACACUGUUGAUCUAGAGUGUCGGAGAGGAAGGCGGAAUUCAGAGUGUAGCGGUGAAAUGCGGAGAUAUUAGGAGGAACACCAGUGGCGAAGGCGGCUGGCUGGACGAUGACUGACGUUGAGGCUCGAAAGCGUGGGGAGCAAACAGGAUUAGAUACCCCAGUAGUC